GGAUGUGAGGGUGAUCUGUCUGAGACAUCUGUCACCCAAUCGCUAGUUGAUUUGGCUGAUCCCUCUGGCUAGGCGGGUGUCCCCUUCCUCCCUCACCGCUCCAUGUGUAUCCCUCCUGAAGCUGCACCCUCAGACAAAGAGGAUAGCCUUCCCUGAACAGAGCUGGACUGGUCUUCGGUGGAGGGUAUAUGAGUAGCUGUGCUCCCCUGAUAGAACCUCCAAACAUGCUCUCAAGAAAGAGGGAAUAAACCUAAUAAGAAAAGUGAAAGACUUGUAUACUGAAAAUUGUAAGUUAUUAUUC
Erinaceus europaeus (western European hedgehog) is the source of this 301-nucleotide unclassified non-coding RNA. Its record names the gene 7SK. It matches the Rfam family "7SK RNA". From Rfam's summary of the family: 7SK was discovered as an abundant small nuclear RNA in the mid-70s but a possible function has only recently been suggested. Two independent studies have found that 7SK RNA binds the CDK9/cyclin T complex (known as elongation factor P-TEFb). Lineage: Eukaryota; Metazoa; Chordata; Mammalia; Eulipotyphla; Erinaceidae. The record is from Ensembl.